GACGAACGCUGGCGGCGUGCCCAAUACAUGCAAGUCGAGCGGACUGACUGGGAGCUUGCUCUUUUUCGGUCAGCGGCGGACGGGUGAGUAACACGUGGGCAACCUGCCCGCAAUACCGGGAUAACUCCGGGAAACCGGAGCUAAUACCGGAUAACACCGACGACCGCAUGGUCUUUGGUUGAAAGGCGGCUCACGCUGCCACUUGCGGAUGUGCCCGCGGCGCUUUUGCUAGUUGGGGAGGUAACGGCUCACCAAGGGGGCUAUGCGUACCCGGGCUGGGAGGGUGGCCGGCCAAAAUGGGAAUGAGACACGGCCCAGACCUCUACGGGGGGCAGGAAGAGGGGAACAUCCGACAAUGGGGGAAGGCUGGAGGCGGGAAGCCGGGGGGGCGGAGGAGGGCCUCGGGUCGUAAAGGUCUGUUGGGAGGGACGAAGGAGCGCCGUUUGAAGAAGGCGGCGCGGUGACGGUACCUAAAGAGGAAGCCCCGGCUAACUACGUG
This 499-nucleotide ribosomal RNA is filed under the name uncultured bacterium. Its description in RNAcentral is "partial 16S ribosomal RNA". It matches the Rfam family "Bacterial small subunit ribosomal RNA", at positions 28 to 507 of the family's 1533-position model. The record is from RNAcentral.